GUCACAGCCCACCACAGCAGAGCAGUGAAGUUGGCUUCCAAGCAUUUGCUUCCAAGGGCCCCGUUCCCGGGCUCAGAGCAGCAGGAACGUUGCACUGAACAGUGUGCGUGGCUGAGGAGCCCAGGGCUGUGCUGCUGGCGGACUGUCACACCCCUGGUGCAGAGCUCUCAGCUCCAAACACAAAGGAGGCACCUCCAGAGUAUAAUGUGGGCUGUCCAGCCAGCACGCCCCACUCUGGCCCUGCUUUCUGCAGGCCCCUGUAUCACCUUGACCAGGGGACCUCUGUGCCCACUUCCAUCAGGGCUGCUCAUCCUCUAGCUGAGAGGCAGAGGGGCACUUUCAGUCCUACAAAUGUAUAUUGAGCACACACUGUGAGUUAGAGCUUGGGGAUGCCAACGGGAAGAAGAUGGGUGAGAGCCUCGGCCUCAAGCAGAAGAGACAGAAGAACGGCACAAGGGCAAUUACAAUCUGGUGUGCUGCGCUGGGGAGCCCGACCCCCGAUGCACCUUAGACCCUGGGGAAGUGUCUUAAGGCUCUUGGAAGAGAAAGAGGAAGUCUGAACCAGGGGGCCAGUGAGGAUUUGCCAGGUUCCUCUGUCCGUGGGAUUCUCCAGGUAUUGGAGUCAGUUGCCGUGCCAUCCUCCAGGGGAUCUUCCUGACCCAGGGAUCGAACCUGCAUCUCCUGCAUCUCCUGCGCUGGCAGGUGGGUUCUUUUCCACUAGCACCACCUGGGAAGCCUGCAACAGAACAUCACUCAGCCACAAAAAAGAAUGAAACACUGCAGCAAUAUGGAUGGACCUGGAGAUGAUCGUACUUAACUACGAAAGCCAGAAAGACAAAGACGAACACCAUAUGAUGUAACUUAUAUGUGGAGUCUAAAAUAGGACUUAAGGGAAGACACCUAAGAAACAGAAACAGACUCUGACAUAGAGAACAAACUUGUGGUUGCCAAAGGGGAGGGAAGGAUUGGGAGUUCGGGAUUAGCAGAUGCAAACUAGUAUAUAUAGAACAGAUAAGAAACAGGGUCCUACUGUACAGCACAGGGAACUAAUUCAGUAUCCUGUGAUAAACCACAGUGGAAAGCAAUAUAUACAUAUAUAUAUAUAUGUGUAUGUAUAUAUAUAUAUAUGCUAUGCUAUGCUAAGUCGCUUCAGUCGUGUCCGACUCUGUGCAACCCCAUAGACGGCAGCCCACC
Long non-coding RNA from Bos taurus (domestic cattle), 1194 nucleotides. Lineage: Eukaryota; Metazoa; Chordata; Mammalia; Artiodactyla; Bovidae. The record is from Ensembl.